This 216-nucleotide ribosomal RNA is filed under the name uncultured bacterium. RNAcentral's name for it is "partial 16S ribosomal RNA". It matches the Rfam family "Bacterial small subunit ribosomal RNA", at positions 118 to 351 of the family's 1533-position model. The record is from RNAcentral.
UGGGAAUCUGCCCUUAGGUUCGGAAUAACAGUUAGAAAUGACUGCUAAUACCGGAUAAUGUCUUCGGACCAAAGAUUUAUUGCCUAAGGAUGAGCCCGCGUAAGAUUAGCUUGUUGGUGAGGUAAAGGCUCACCAAGGCGACGAUCUUUAGCUGGUCUGAGAGGAUGAUCAGCCACACUGGGACUGAGACACGGCCCAGACUCCUACGGGAGGCAG